AAAUUGAAGAGUUUGAUCAUGGCUCAGAUUGAACGCUGGCGGCAGGCCUAACACAUGCAAGUCGAGCGGUAGCACAGAGAGCUUGCUCUCGGGUGACGAGCGGCGGACGGGUGAGUAAUGUCUGGGAAACUGCCUGAUGGAGGGGGAUAACUACUGGAAACGGUAGCUAAUACCGCAUAACGUCGCAAGACCAAAGUGGGGGACCUUCGGGCCUCAUGCCAUCAGAUGUGCCCAGAUGGGAUUAGCUAGUAGGUGGGGUAACGGCUCACCUAGGCGACGAUCCCUAGCUGGUCUGAGAGGAUGACCAGCCACACUGGAACUGAGACACGGUCCAGACUCCUACGGGAGGCAGCAGUGGGGAAUAUUGCACAAUGGGCGCAAGCCUGAUGCAGCCAUGCCGCGUGUGUGAAGAAGGCCUUCGGGUUGUAAAGCACUUUCAGCGGGGAGGAAGGCGGUGAGGUUAAUAACCUCAUCGAUUGACGUUACCCGCAGAAGAAGCACCGGCUAACUCCGUGCCAGCAGCCGCGGUAAUACGGAGGGUGCAAGCGUU
This 550-nucleotide ribosomal RNA is filed under the name Klebsiella pneumoniae. RNAcentral describes it as "bacterial SSU rRNA". It matches the Rfam family "Bacterial small subunit ribosomal RNA", at positions 1 to 542 of the family's 1533-position model. Lineage: Bacteria; Pseudomonadati; Pseudomonadota; Gammaproteobacteria; Enterobacterales; Enterobacteriaceae. The record is from RNAcentral.